GGCGAUCCCGUGUGGGUGGGUCGUCGCUCAACGGAUAAAAGGUACCCCGGGGAUAACAGGCUGAUCUUCCCCAAGAGUCCAUAUCGACGGGAUGGUUUGGCACCUCGAUGUCGGCUCGUCGCAUCCUGGGGCUGGAGUAGGUCCCAAGGGUUGGGCUGUUCGCCCAUUAAAGCGGCACGCGAGCUGGGUUUAGAACGUCGUGAGACAGUUCGGUCCCUAUCUGCCGUGGACGUUUGAGAUUUGAGAGGGGCUGCUCCUAGUACGAGAGGACCGGAGUGGACGAACCUCUGGUGUUCCGGUUGUCACGCCAGUGGCAUUGCCGGGUAGCUAUGUUCGGAAGAGAUAACCGCUGAAAGCAUCUAAGC
Molecule: ribosomal RNA, 365 nt
Filed under: Schizochytrium aggregatum
Lineage: Eukaryota; Bigyra; Thraustochytrida; Thraustochytriidae
Description: partial Bacterial large subunit ribosomal RNA
Rfam family: Bacterial large subunit ribosomal RNA
Source: RNAcentral